RNAcentral lists this ribosomal RNA (253 nucleotides) under uncultured bacterium. Its description in RNAcentral is "partial 16S ribosomal RNA". It matches the Rfam family "Bacterial small subunit ribosomal RNA", at positions 524 to 776 of the family's 1533-position model. The record is from RNAcentral.
UACGUAGGGGGCCAGCGUUGCUCGGAAUUACUGGGCGUAAAGGGUUCGUAGGUGGUGCGGCAAGUUGGGAGUGAAAUCCCUGGGCUUAACCCAGGGGCUGCUUCCGAAACUGCUGUGCUUGAGUGUGGGAGAGGCGCGUGGAAUUGCAGGUGUAGCGGUGAAAUGCGUAGAUAUCUGCAGGAACACCCGUGGCGAAAGCGGCGCGCUGGACCACUACUGACGCUGAGGAACGAAAGCUAGGGGAGCAAACAGG